GAUGAACGCUGGCGGCGUGCCUAUUACAUGCAAGUCGAGCGAACAGACGAGGAGCUUGCUCCUCUGACGUUAGCGGCGGACGGGUGAGUAACACGUGGAUAACCUACCUAUAAGACUGGGAUAACUUCGGGAAACCGGAGCUAAUACCGGAUAAUAUAUUGAACCGCAUGGUUCAAUAGUGAAAGACGGUUUUGCUGUCACUUAUAGAUGGAUCCGCGCCGCAUUAGCUAGUUGGUAAGGUAACGGCUUACCAAGGCAACGAUGCGUAGCCGGCCUGAGAGGGUGAUCGGCCACACUGGAACUGAGACACGGUCCAGACUCCUACGGGAGGCAGCAGUAGGGAAUCUUCCGCAAUGGGCGAAAGCUUGACGGAGCAACGCCGCGUGAGUGAUGAAGGUCUUCGGAUCGUAAAACUCUGUUAUUAGGGAAGAACAAAUGUGUAAGUAACUAUGCACGUCUUGACGGUACCUAAUCAGAAAGCCACGGCUAACUACGUG
RNAcentral lists this ribosomal RNA (497 nucleotides) under uncultured bacterium. RNAcentral describes it as "partial 16S ribosomal RNA". It matches the Rfam family "Bacterial small subunit ribosomal RNA", at positions 28 to 507 of the family's 1533-position model. The record is from RNAcentral.